AGAAAAGUAAGCUAAUUUUAAGCUAAUGGGUUCAUAUCCCAUUUAUAGAGUUUAAUCUCUCUUUUCUA
Molecule: transfer RNA, 68 nt
Filed under: Arria pallida
Lineage: Eukaryota; Metazoa; Arthropoda; Insecta; Mantodea; Haaniidae
Description: tRNA-Met
Source: RNAcentral